RNAcentral lists this ribosomal RNA (253 nucleotides) under uncultured bacterium. RNAcentral describes it as "partial 16S ribosomal RNA". It matches the Rfam family "Bacterial small subunit ribosomal RNA", at positions 524 to 776 of the family's 1533-position model. The record is from RNAcentral.
UACGGAGGGUGCAAGCGUUAUCCGGAUUCACUGGGCUUAAAGGGUGCGUAGGUGGGCUAGUAAGUCCGUGGUGAAAUCUCCAAGCUUAACUUGGAAACUGCCGUGGAUACUAUUAGUCUUGAAUAUUGUGGAGGUAAGCGGAAUAUGUCAUGUAGCGGUGAAAUGCUUAGAUAUGACAUAGAACACCGAUAGCGAAGGCAGCUUGCUACACAAUCAUUGACACUGAGGCACGAAAGCGUGGGGAUCAAACAGG